RNAcentral lists this ribosomal RNA (292 nucleotides) under uncultured bacterium. Its description in RNAcentral is "partial 16S ribosomal RNA". It matches the Rfam family "Bacterial small subunit ribosomal RNA", at positions 505 to 796 of the family's 1533-position model. The record is from RNAcentral.
GUGUCAGCCGCCGCGGUAAUACGGAGGGGGCAAGCGUUGUUCGGAAUUAUUGGGCGUAAAGGGCGCGUAGGCGGCCAUGCAAGUCGGUUGUGAAAUCCCUUGGCUCAACCAAGGAACUGCGUCCGAAACUGCAUGGCUCGAGUCCGGGAGAGGGUAGUGGAAUUCCCAGUGUAGCGGUGAAAUGCGUAGAUAUUGGGAGGAACACCGGUGGCGAAGGCGGCUACCUGGACCGGAACUGACGCUGAGGCGCGAAAGCUAGGGGAGCAAACAGGAUUAGAAACCCUUGUAGUCC